Molecule: long non-coding RNA, 548 nt
Filed under: Nicotiana benthamiana
Lineage: Eukaryota; Viridiplantae; Streptophyta; Magnoliopsida; Solanales; Solanaceae
Description: long non-coding RNA (NBEN_LNC008968)
Source: RNAcentral
AUAAUAGGACUUGAAGGCUUUAGCUAUGCGAGCCUACUACUACGCUCCUUUGUUAUAGAAUUAAUAGUCAGAAACUUGCCUACUUAAUCUCUUUAGAGAUAAAGGUUCUUACAUAGGUGAAGGCACCCAUAUCACAUUACUUAAUCUCUUUCGAGAUAAAGGUUCUUACAUAGGUGAAGGCACCCAUAUCAUAUAAAAUAGUUAGAAAGCUCGCGCUCCAUUAAGUGUAUAGAUUGAGAUCCAGUAGAAGUGGGAGUGCCGCAAGGCUCUUGAGUUAAAUGAUGCUCAGGAUUGAGGAAGUGGUCUUAUUGGCAUACUUGAAGGCUUUAGCUAUGCGAGCCUGCCACUACGCUCCUUUGUUACAGAAUUAAUGGUCAGAAACUUGCCUUACUUAAUCUCUUUCGAGAUAAAGGUUCUUACAGAGGUGAAGGCACCCAUCUCACAUAAAAUAGUUAGAAAGCUCGCGCUCCAUUAAGUGUAUAGAUUGAGAUCCAGUAGAAGUGGGAGUGCCGCAAGGCUCUUGAGUUAAAUGAUGCUCAGGAUUGAGG